Molecule: transfer RNA, 66 nt
Filed under: Gebiacantha plantae
Lineage: Eukaryota; Metazoa; Arthropoda; Malacostraca; Decapoda; Upogebiidae
Description: tRNA-Gly
Source: RNAcentral
GCCUUUUUAAUAUAAAAAGUAUAGUUGGCUUCCAACCAACCAGUCUAAUUACUCUUAGAAAAGGCA